CAAGUAUAAUACAUUUCGCUUAUAUGUGGAAUGUAAAAAGUAAAACAAACACAUGAAAAUAACAAAACCGAAACCAAUUCCUAGAUACAGAGAAAACACUAAUGGUUACCAGAGGGAGGAGGGAAGGGGGCUGGGGCCAUAGAGCGGGAGGUGAUUCAGAGACACACAAAGAGAUAAGCUUUGGGAACAUACUGCACAGUACAGGGAACGGAGCCACCACUGAAUGAUGCCUUUAAAUGCAUAACCGUCUAAACUGUUGAAGGAUGUCCACCUGAAAUUAAAAUAAUGUUGUAAAUCAACCACGCUUCCAUAAAAACCAUCAGCACGUGUUUUCCGUGCGGAGAGAUGUAUGCAGAGAAUCCGCAUCGGACGUGUUGAGGAGAAAUGCCACUGUCCGCAGAGCAUCCGAGAGCCCCGCGUGGAACACUGUGUGGCUGUCUGUGAGCAGGACACCCGGGGGGAGAGCCGAGGCCACGCAGAGAGCCCCCAGGGGAAGCACGGUGGGCGGGCAUUCCAGAAGCAGAGGGUCGGGGAGGCGGGGGUUCGGGCAGCCUCCGGGGCUUUGCUCGGAGGGGAGGAUGAGGAUGUGGGAGAGUGAGGCACAGGGAGCGGGGUGCUCUUUGGGUUUCCAAAAUAAUCAUUCUGGGAGUGUCCAUGGUGGCUCAGCAGCGUAAGGACUCGAUGUUGUCUCUGUGGGAUGCAGGUUCAAUCCCUGGCCUCGAGGGUGAGAGGUCCAGCGUUGCUCUAAGCUGCCGCGUAGGUUGCAGAGGUGGCUCAGAUCCAGUAUUGCAGUGGCUGUGGUGCAGGCCACCGCUGCAGCUCUGAUUCGAACCCUGGCCCAUGAACUUCCAUAUGCUGCAGGUGUGGCCAUACAAAAAGAAUUAUUCUGGCCCUCAGGUGGAGAAGAGUGUCCAGGGAAAGAGGGGGAAAUGGGACACCAAUUACAUGGCUCUUGCAAUCACCCAAACAAGAAACAACCAUGGCCUGGCCAGAGCUGGGGGCAGAGAAAAGGAGGAGAAGGCUUUGGAUGGAAUUUGCACUCAGAAGUGUAGGAAGGGUAGAUGGUCUCCUGUUGACCGGCUGUUUACACAUAGACGUCUGUUGGGUGGAGCCACGGAACAUUCUCAUCCAGGCUCCUGGUUGCGUGAUGCUGGCCACAUGGGUUAUAAAGGCACGAACCACUGGAGGACCCCAGCUCAUCACCAUCCCCAACACGCUCUGCUCUGUGUAUUUGCUAAAAACUGAGAGAAGCCAGCACUUCACUAACGGACAUCUUUACUGCCUUAAAUAAGUUGAUACCUAAAUAAAUACACAUGUAUGUCAGUAUCAUGCUGACAUACGCACUAGUGUGAGUUAGUUCAGUUUUGUCUUUUGAUGACAAACUCAAUUGCAUGCGUCUUCUCUCAGCUUAAUAUAGAAAUAUAUCUCAUAAACGUACCAUUCUUUCACAUUUAGACCUACUGGGUGACGUUCUUGUCCAACUUCUGUCCACACAAGAGCGAUUGUUCCCUUGUAAAAUGUACCUAGUUUAACUCAUUUCUUUAGGUCAGUCUGCAUUUUCCAUCAUUGCUAAUCCCAUCACCAUCCUUCAUUACCUGUCAACAAACAAGUGCGUUUACCUGAAGCCUUUUCCUUUCAUCAUAUAAUUAAUUAAGGAGUUAAUUAAUAUCAGGCGUAUUGUUGGCCUCGGUGACACUUCAUUAAAUACUUCCAUCCUGGAGACACUGUCACUUAUUUUACUUAUUAUUAAUGGCUUUGAACUUCAGUUCAUUUUAAUGUCAACACUCAUAUUUAACCCACAGUGAAUUAAUUUUGCAGGUGAAAUCUCAUCCAAAGGUUAUGGCAUCAAUUCUUGGUUAAAGGCCAUUUAUCGUCUCCCAGCAUCUGGUUUGAGUUGGUUUUUGACUACCCUCAAAUUCCAGACAGUGGCAUAUGGCAAUUCAAAAAUCACCAGGCACUUCACUCUCAGCUGUUUAUAUACACACACACGCACACAUAUGUUUAUGCAUGUGUGUAUAUGUGUAUAGGUGUAUAUGCACACUCACGUAUACAUAUACAUAUAAGGGUGUCUAUGUGUAUGUACAGACAUGCACACACAUAAUCUUACAUCUACUACAAUGUGCAAAAUCCCCUUCGGUUAUAAUCUUUUACUGGGCAUUCCCGCCACCUCCUUAACUUUACAUAAACUUGAUUUUAUUCUCCCACAUAUUUCUCUUUAUAUCUAUGCCUACAUAUAUAUUAAUUGUAUAUCAUUUGUCUUCCAUGGGCUUCACAUCGCCGGGACUUUGGGGUGGGGUCCUCCGUGGUCUCUGCUGCUCCUGUGAGAUAAUACCCUGCCUUCCUUGUUGAUUCCACUCAUUCCACUAAGCAUCACCCCAACUGCCGCCUCAGACUGCCGAUCCCGGAAGCUGGGUGAGGGUCUCCCUCCUACAUCUAAUGCCCAGCCUCGCCGGCUGUGUUUGACACUGUGUGGGGGUCCCUCCCCCUCAGACCCCAAGUGGACCAGCCCGGCCAGUGGUGACCCCUGCCUGCUGCUUCCCAGGCCCUCUCUGGGGGGUGGGAUUUGCUGGGUGUCAGCUCUGGAGCGCACUUUGGUUUCCCACCCUCUGCCUGAUGGGGUCUGCCGCCUUCCUGGAAGCACAAGGGGCCGCUCUGGCUCUCAGAGGCCCAUCGCCUGGCGAGAGGCAGCCUUGAGCCGCAGGUUGGAGCUUUGCUCUGAGUGGCGGGACACUCAGCAGCCCAGCACGGUAGCUGACUCUGAGGAGAUUGCUCUCCCCCGUUUGCAUUCCUAAGUGUUGCCACAUUUAUUCAAGUCUUACACAGACUCCCAGAGAGAAGUACAUGGCUCAUAGGUGUUCAGAGUCGUGGCGUCUAUAAAGCGAAGGUUCCCAUAACUCGUCUCUCCCCACUUGGCCAAAACGGAUUUUCCACAUCACCCACAAACUCUGUGUUGCCGGGCAGGUCUGAAACACUCCUCUCAGAGUUCCCGUUGUAGAGCAAUGGGAUCAGCAGCAUCUCUGGAGCGCUGGGACGCAGGUUCUAUCCCUGGUCCAGCACAGUGGGUUAAGGAUCUGGUGUUGCCAUUGCUGCAGUAUAGACCAAACCUCCAGCUGGGAUCUGAUCCCUGCCCCGGGAGCACUACAUGCUAAAGGGCAGCCAGAAAAGAAGGAAAAAAAAUAGAAAAAGAAAAAAAAA
RNAcentral lists this long non-coding RNA (3195 nucleotides) under Sus scrofa (pig). RNAcentral describes it as "lncRNA (ENSSSCG00015060624.1)". Lineage: Eukaryota; Metazoa; Chordata; Mammalia; Artiodactyla; Suidae. The record is from RNAcentral.